RNAcentral lists this ribosomal RNA (253 nucleotides) under uncultured bacterium. RNAcentral describes it as "partial 16S ribosomal RNA". It matches the Rfam family "Bacterial small subunit ribosomal RNA", at positions 524 to 776 of the family's 1533-position model. The record is from RNAcentral.
UACGAAGGGGGCGAGCGUUGUUCGGAUUUACUGGGCGUAAAGCGCACGUAGGCGGGUUGUUAAGUCAGGGGUGAAAUCCUGGAGCUCAACUCCAGAACUGCCUUUGAUACUGGCAACCUAGAGGCUGGAAGAGGUUAGUGGAAUUCCCAGUGUAGAGGUGAAAUUCGUAGAUAUUGGGAAGAACACCAGUGGCGAAGGCGGCUAACUGGUCCAGAUCUGACGCUGAGGUGCGAAAGCGUGGGGAGCAAACAGG